GUUGAACGCUGGCGGCAGGCCUAACACAUGCAAGUCGAGCGGAUGAAGGGAGCUUGCUCCUGGAUUCAGCGGCGGACGGGUGAGUAAUGCCUAGGAAUCUGCCUGGUAGUGGGGGAUAACGUCCGGAAACGGGCGCUAAUACCGCAUACGUCCUGAGGGAGAAAGUGGGGGAUCUUCGGACCUCACGCUAUCAGAUGAGCCUAGGUCGGAUUAGCUAGUUGGUGGGGUAAAGGCCUACCAAGGCGACGAUCCGUAACUGGUCUGAGAGGAUGUUCAGUCACACUGGAACUGAGACACGGUCCAGACUCCUACGGGAGGCAGCAGUGGGGAAUAUUGGACAAAGGGCGAAAGCCUGAUCCAGCCAUGCCGCGUGUGUGAAGAAGGUCUUCGGAUUGUAAAGCACUUUAAGUUGGGAGGAAGGGCAGUAAGUUAAUACCUUGCUGUUUUGACGUUACCAACAGAAUAAGCACCGGCUAACUUCGUG
Molecule: ribosomal RNA, 484 nt
Filed under: uncultured bacterium
Lineage: Bacteria
Description: partial 16S ribosomal RNA
Rfam family: Bacterial small subunit ribosomal RNA
Source: RNAcentral